Molecule: transfer RNA, 67 nt
Filed under: Sydaphera spengleriana
Lineage: Eukaryota; Metazoa; Mollusca; Gastropoda; Neogastropoda; Cancellariidae
Description: tRNA-Lys
Rfam family: tRNA
About the family: Transfer RNA (tRNA) molecules are approximately 80 nucleotides in length. Their secondary structure includes four short double-helical elements and three loops (D, anti-codon, and T loops).
Source: RNAcentral
CCUUAGGUGACUGAGAAAUAAGUGUUGGACUUUUAAUCCAAAUACGACGGUUUAACGUCUCUAAGGG